GUCUAUAGCCAUACCACCCUGAAUGCACCUGAUCCGGUCUGAUCUCAGAAGCUAAGCAGGGUCGGGCCUGGUUAGUACUUGGAUGGGAGAAAUGCCAGACAGACCUGAGGGCUCAGUCC
Molecule: ribosomal RNA, 119 nt
Filed under: Propithecus coquereli (Coquerel's sifaka)
Lineage: Eukaryota; Metazoa; Chordata; Mammalia; Primates; Indriidae
Source: RNAcentral